GUUUGAUCCUGGCUCAAGAUGAACCUUUGCGGUGUGCCUAAUACAUGCAAGUCGAACGGUGACUAUUUUGUAGCAAUACAAAUGAAAUCAUAGUGGCGAACGGGUGAGUAACGCGUUGGUGAUCUGCCUCGAAGUGUGAAAUAACUUCCCGAAAGGGUAGCUAAUACCGCGUACUCUCUCAAGGUUUAAAAAAUUGAGAGUAAAGGAUUUAUUCGCUUCGAGAGGAGCCUGCGUCCCAUCAGCUAGUUGGUAGGGUAAUACCCUACCAAGGCAAUGACGGGUAGGGGACCUGAGAGGGUGCCCCCCCACAAUGGAACUGAAACACGGUCCAUACACCUACGGGUGGCAGCAGUAGGGAAUAUUAGAAAUGGGCGAAAGCCUGAUCUAGCAACACCGCGUGUGCGAUGAAGGCCUUCGGGUUGUAAAGCACUUUUUGGAGGGAAUAGGAAGGAAGGUACCUCCAGAAUAAGUCUCGGCUAACUACGUGCCAGCAGCCGCGGUAACACGUAGGAGGCAAACGUUAUCCGGAUUCACUGGGCGUAAAGCGCGUGUAGGUGGUUCUGUAAGUAGGGCGUGAAAGCUCCCGGCUCAACUGGGAGAGGCCGUACUAAACUGCAGAGCUAGAGGAUGGUAGAGGGAGGUGGAAUUCCAGGUGUAGUGGUGAAAUGCGCAGAUAUCUGGAGGAACACCAGUGGCGAAGGCGGCCUCCUGGACCAUUCCUGACACUCAGACGCGAAAGCUAGGGUAGCAAACGGAAUUAGAGACUCCGGUAGUCCUAGCCCUAAACGAUGCAGACUAGGCGUCGGCGGUUUAAUCACCGUCGGUGUCCAAGCUAACGCGAUGAGUCUGCCGCCUGAGGACUACGGCCGCAAGGCUAAAACUCAAAGGAAUUGGCGGGUCCCCGCACAAGCAGCGGAGCGUGUGGUUUAAUUCGACGCAACGCGAAGAACCUUACCAGGUCUUGACAUCCUGCUAACGAGGUAGAAAUACGUUAGGUGCCAGCAAUGGAAAGCAGAGACAGGUGGUGCAUGGUUGUCGUCAGCUCGUGUCGUGAGAUGUUGGGUUAAGUCCCGCAACGAGCGCAACCCUUGUGUUUAGUUACUAACGCGUAGAGGCGAGGACUCUAGACAGACCGCCGGGGACAACUCGGAGGAAGGUGGGGACGACGUCAAAUCAUCAUGCCCCUUAUGUCUAGGGCUACACACGUGCUACAAUGGUCGGUACAAUAAGACGCAAGCCCGCGAGGGGGAGCAAAACUGGAAAACCGAUCUCAGUUCGGAUUGUAGGCUGAAACUCGCCUACAUGAAGCUGGAGUUGCUAGUAAUCGCGAAUCAGCAUGUCGCGGUGAAUACGUUCCCGGGCCUUGUACACACCGCCCGUCA
Molecule: ribosomal RNA, 1382 nt
Filed under: uncultured bacterium
Lineage: Bacteria
Description: bacterial SSU rRNA
Rfam family: Bacterial small subunit ribosomal RNA
Source: RNAcentral